RNAcentral lists this transfer RNA (782 nucleotides) under Candidatus Tremblayella princeps. RNAcentral's name for it is "Candidatus Tremblaya princeps partial rps15-16S ribosomal RNA intergenic spacer". The record is from RNAcentral. Lineage: Bacteria; Pseudomonadati; Pseudomonadota; Betaproteobacteria.
CGCCUGCUCUCUGUGAUGGCGCGCUGAUGCAUGGCUUCUUUAUAGCGGCAUCGCCAACAUACUCCAGCGCUGUUGGUUAUGGAGGAGGCGCUGGCAAUACUGGUUGCGCUGCAGUGCAGGUUGCCGUAAUGACUGAGCGUAUAAAUAGGCUGCGUAGGGGGCACUUCAGUAUGCACGCAGGGGAUAGGCAUGGCCAUAGGGGGCUCCAGUGCCUUAUAUCCAAGAGGAGAAGGCUCCUAUCUUACCUCAGGAAAAGGAGGCUUGUAAUGUACGCCAUGGUUGUAAAUCGUCUGGGCCUUAGGCGUUAGAGCAGGCUAGCCCUAUGAUACAGUUAGCCAUGUAGCAGUGCGGUCGUAUUUGUUGCUGUGGCAGUCAUAGCCAUGCCGACGUGGUGAAAACAGUAGAAACGCCAUCUUGUGGUGGUGGUGGCGCAUGCUGUAUGAGUUCAAGUCUCAUCGUCGGCAUGGCAGCGUAGGCUAGCGUUGCGCUGUGCGCAGGGCCUUAUGCGGGCAGUGGGGGCGAAAUGUGGCCAGCCACUUCGUAGGCUGCGUUGCUGUUGUGCAUUGCCCUGCUAACGUAGGGUGAGCAUGGUAGGGCAUUGGCAUUGCGGCAUUGCAGCAGAUGGAACGAGCGAUGGGGCUGGCGCUCGUGCCAAAGCCAACGCUGCCCAUGCCCUCGCAUGCACCAAAAACAGCCCCAAAAACAGCCUCAUUCAAGCGUAAACUUGACCUUCAUUGGAGCUGUUAUAGGCUUAGGUUUCUCAAGGUCGGUUUAGCCUCCCG